GCACGUGUUAAACUUGUUUUUGACCCUGCCAUGUGAGAAACUCGAAGAGAUAGCCGAGGAGCUGAUGUUGUCUGCAGGAGUCAGGGACGCUGAUAGAGUAGUCUCUCAUUAGAACUUUGUGGUGACUGACGAAGAGAAAGCAUGGAGAAGUACACACAAGUUCUUUAAGAUUCUUGUGAAAAGGGGCAAAUCUCUCCUUUGUUCUUUACAUUUGAGAAGAAAUGUCAAAUGGCAAUUUGCAGGAGGAAAGCGAGAGGAAUCAAAAUAUUCUCAAAAAGCUUUGUGAUCUCUUUCUGCUCACACAGCUACAUUGGACAAGUAUAUGAAAUUUUACCCAGAC
This 340-nucleotide long non-coding RNA is filed under the name Fukomys damarensis (Damara mole-rat). RNAcentral describes it as "lncRNA (ENSFDAG00000029252.1)". Lineage: Eukaryota; Metazoa; Chordata; Mammalia; Rodentia; Bathyergidae. The record is from RNAcentral.